AUCCCUCACAGGGUAGCAGCAAGUGAAAGGGAUCCCCCUGGCCUUGAGGAGCUCACAUCUACUUAUUUCCCAGGGGUCUCUGUCCAGUGCCCACACAUGCCUGGCAUGUAGUAGGUGCCUCAUCCACAUCUGGUGAAAGAGUGGAAAGCAGAGUGCAGUGAAUAGAAGACACUUCUCUGCACCCCAAAAGCUCCAUGCUGAUUGUGAGAAGGAAAUGCUGGAUGGAGGGGUUCCUGGAACUACUGUGAGGGUUUCUUUUGAUUUCUCCUGCUUAGAAAUGGUGAGAGAACUUUGGAUGUGGAACGUGGAGGAGGAGGAACACGAAGUGGGGAUCUCCACUUGGGGUGGUCAGCACUGCGGGUGCCCAGCAAAGUCACUGCCUGGUCCACAUCCCGGAGGGGUCUCUGCGCCUCAGUCGGCAUCGCAGCUGAUGGUGAAACUUUUGGUGUGGCAGAAGAGUGUCCACAAACUUCGGAAGAUCGCUGCUCAGAGUGAGGAAUGGAGUUGUGUUUUGAAUAAAAUAUCCACGCA
RNAcentral lists this long non-coding RNA (531 nucleotides) under Homo sapiens (human). RNAcentral's name for it is "HSALNT0400421". Lineage: Eukaryota; Metazoa; Chordata; Mammalia; Primates; Hominidae. The record is from RNAcentral.